This 512-nucleotide ribosomal RNA is filed under the name Cepora nadina. RNAcentral describes it as "partial 16S ribosomal RNA". The record is from RNAcentral. Lineage: Eukaryota; Metazoa; Arthropoda; Insecta; Lepidoptera; Pieridae.
GUCUUUUUGAUAAUAAUUUAAAGUUUAAUUUGCCCACUGAAAUAAAAUUUAAAGGGCUGCAGUAUAUUGACUGUACAAAGGUAGCAUAGUCAUUAGUCUUUUAAUUGAAGACUUGUAUGAAUGAUUUGAUGAAAUAUAAGCUGUCUCUUUAUUAAUAAUAGAAUUUAAUUUUUUAGUUAAAAAGCUAAAAUUUUUAUAAAAGACGAGAAGACCCUAUAGAGUUUAAUUUUUUAAUUUUUGUAGGUAUUUUAUAAAAUUUAAAAUUUAUAAAAAUUAAAAAAUUUUGUUGGGGUGAUAGAAAAAUUUAAUAAACUUUUUUUUAAAAAUUAACAUUAAUUUAUGAAUUUUUGAUCCAUAAAUUAUGAUUAUAAGAUUAAAUUACCUUAGGGAUAACAGCGUAAUUUUUUUUUUUAGUUCAAAUAAAAAUGAAAGUUUGCGACCUCGAUGUUGGAUUAAGAUAAAAUAUAAAUGCAAAAGUUUAAAAUUUUGAUCUGUUCGAUCAUUAAAAUCUU